AAAGGCUCAGCGAUGGGAAUUCAACCAGCCAAGGCCUGGCCGGGUUAGAGCAGCUCUGCAGGAUCUGCCUGGCCGCAGGAGUGACCCCGCUGUGUGGCAAUACUGAAGAUGGGAAAACCACUUCCUUCCUCUCUGCCUGGAUGCUCCAAAGGGCUGAAUCUAUAGCAGGGGUUGGACAGGCAGUGGGAGGCACGGGAGGUCGCCUUAGGCACUCAGCAGGGAUCCACCAAGCAGCCGAAGGCCUGAUACAGCCCCAAAGUGCAACGGGAUUUAGGUGCCUAAAUGCAUUAGGCUGCUAGGAAAAUCCCAGCCUUUGAAGCUUAAGUAGUCACUAACAAAAAC
Molecule: long non-coding RNA, 342 nt
Filed under: Phasianus colchicus (ring-necked pheasant)
Lineage: Eukaryota; Metazoa; Chordata; Aves; Galliformes; Phasianidae
Description: lncRNA (ENSPCLG00000019468.1)
Source: RNAcentral